GGCGGGUUUCCUUCUUCCUUGUCACCGCCAAAUCCAAUAGAGCUCUCUCUCCCUCCCCAGUUUCUGUCACACGGCCACCGUAACUGUCCGACUGCUAAACGGCUCCGCUUGCCAUCUCAGCGAGCUCCGGCGACUCCCUCCUUUUCUUUUUGAAUUAAUAAGUUGCUCUCUGUGUGUGUAUAUCCUAGGUGAAUCAUCAUUUGACAAAUUUGUUUUUGCAAUGGAGAAGCUGAAGUCCAUGGUUCCAGACAGGCUUAAACAGAUAGUGGCAGAUAGCAAUGCUGAUGAUCUUCACUCAACAUCUUCUUCUCUUCUUCACUUUCUCAAGAACUUGUCACAGUUUCACCAAAUGAUUAGAGAUUUGACAGAUCUGGAGGCUGCUCUUUGUGCUAAGAAUAAGGAUGCAGCUUUGGAAUUGAAGCAAAAGGCCAAUAAAUGCUAUUCCCAUGGAGAUUAUGACACGGCAUUGGCUUCCUAUUCUCAGGCAUUGCGCAUUGCUCCAACAGAUGCUAUUGACAUGGACAAAAGUCUGGUUGCAACAUUGUAUCUGAACCGAGCUUCUUUGUUUCUUAAAAUAGGACUUCUAAUGGAGUGUAUAAGAGAUUGCAAUCGGGCCUUGCAAAUUUCUCCAAGUUAUGCAAAGGCAUGGUACAGGAGGGGUAAGGCAAACGCUGCUUUAGGCAAUUACAAAGAUGCAAUUCAUGACUUGGAUGUUGCUAAGAAUAUGGAGUUGUCAUUGGGUGGAAAGAAACAAAUAGAAAGUGAAUUAAAGAUAAUUGCAGGCCAAUAUGAGGGCACAAGUGAUAGACGGGUUCAACAUAUUGAAAAUGGCUUGGGGAACUUCAAUGAGCCACACCAGAUAAAUUUAUUAUGUGUCUCCAUGCCAGACAAAGGAAGAGGCAUGGCUCCACCAUGCGACAUUCCUCAAGCUUCCUUGGUCCACAAAGAAGAGCCUUAUGCCCUGAUUAUAUUGAAGAGUUGCCGAGAGACACACUGUCACUACUGCUUGAAUGAAUUACCCGCAGAUACAGUUCCCUGUGUAUCAUGUUCAAUCCCAUUGUACUGUUCCCAACAUUGCCAAUUACAGGCUAGGGGAGAAACAAUCAGUUACUACAGAACAAAAAAUGGGAUUGAUGAUAGUCUGCCCAACAAUCUUAAAGAGUAUAUUGCAGAAGUCACUUCAUGUAGUGAUUCCGAUCCAUAUGUUGAGUGCUUUCCUGAACAUAAGCAUGAAUGCCUUGGUGUGCACUGGCCUGCAGUAUUGCCAUCUGAUAUAGUUUUGGCUGGUCGAAUGCUAGCGAAAUCUAUAUCUCAAAGAAGAGGUUCUAUGGAUUCUAACCUUUUGGGAACUCUGGUAUAUUUCAGUAUAUAGUAAACAUUUUCAUUGUUUAUGAUGACUAUUCUUAUGUAAGAAUUUGACCUCCCACUUCAUUGCCUUGUAGAAUCUUUCUCACGGUUAUUCACAAAUUAGUCCAGAAGGCAAAUUGGAAUUGCAUAUAUACGCUAUUGUACUGUUGUUCUGUCUUCAACACUCUUUUAGCACUGAACUCCCAAUAAAUGGAAUCUCUUUAUCACAGACCAUUAUACUCGUUUCUCAAAUCAGAGUAAACGCUAUGGCAGUUAUCCGUAUGAAAUCUACUGAUGUUCAUUGCCCACCAGAUCAGUUUGGGAAGUUUUCCCAUAUUGGAGAUGCUUUAACUAGUAGUGUGGACCAGGUCCCUGUGGGUAAAGCCAUUUAUAUAGCUGGCAGUCUUUUCAAUCAUUCUUGCCAGCCAAACAUCCAUGCAUAUUUCCUUUCCCGUACUCUGUUUAUUCGAACAACAGAACAUGUAGCAGCUAGCUGUCCUCUGGAGUUGUCCUAUGGUCCUCAGGUUGGGCAGUGGGACUGUAAAGACCGCCUUAAGUUUCUGGAAGAUAAGUACUCGUUUAGAUGUCAGUGCAUUGGUUGUUCACAACUAAAUCUGUCUGACCUGGUUCUAAAUGCUUUCCAUUGUGUCAAUCCAAAUUGUGACGGUGUAGUCCUGGAUGGCUGUGUGAGUAACUCUGAAUUAAACAAACUUAAGAACUUCCCUGGAGUUCCCAAAAUGAAGGUAUUAGACCCUUUUUUACAUGUAUUGCUGUUGCUCUGCAAUGGAAUUUUGGUCUUAGCAUCAGGUGUAUCGCAAGUGUAGUUAUUCUGUUGCAUCUCAAUUUUUAGAUUGAAUAACUAAACUCACCUAUAUCUGCAGGAGUUGCUAACCACCUACAGCUACAAAAUGUGUGCAGUUUUGUUCUGGAACUCAAUAGUGUUGUGUCUGAUUCUGUAUCCGUAACCUGUUGGAAAAUGGAAUCACAUGUAGACAUUCUUUUGACUACAACUAUUCCUAUGUUGAACUGCAUUAGAAAUUGUGUUUAUUUUCCUCUUUCUUUCAUAAUGAAUUUUCAUGUAUUAAUAGUUUGAUGAGCUGAAUAAUGCCAAUAUUGAUAAUGUAGCUGUGUUAGAAAUUUUGUUUUUUUUCCCCCUUUUUUUUUUCCUAAUGAAUUUUCAUAUAUGAAUAGGUUGAUGAGCUGAAUAAUGCCCACAUUGAUAAUGUAGAUCACCUUGUACUUGAGCUAAGCAAUAACUCUUUUAAUAUUCAACCUGGGUAUUGCUUAAAUUGUGGUUCUAAUUGUGAUCUAGAAGCUUCGCAUAAAGCCAUGAGAAAUGCUUGGAUUUGUAUGGAAAGAUUGCAGGAUGCAAUAGUUUCAAAAGAAAUCUCAACUACUAUUCUUUCGGAUGCUUCAAAAGGUCUUGGUGUAUUGAGGUCAAUAUUGCAUAGAUAUAAUAGGCGAAUUGCAGAGGCUGAAGACAAUCUUGCACAAGCAUUUUGUCUAGUAGGAGACUUUCAAUCUGCAAGGGACCAUUGUAAAGAAUCAAUCAAGAUACUUGAGAUGCUAUACGGCAAUGAUCACAUUGCAAUUGGAUAUGAAUUGGUUAAACUUUCAACCAUUCAGCUGUCCUUGGGCGAUCCUCAUGCUGCAGACGCCAUAAAUCGGCUAGGUUUAAUAUUUGUGAGGUAUCACGGAUCACACUCAAACGUUGUUUUCCCAUAUCUGCAAACUCUGAAAAGAGAAGCCAGCAAUUUAACUCAAUAGAAGGCUGACCCCUGUUGUUAUAUGUCCCAUAUCUGCAAAUGCUGAAGUAAAGCUUGUGAUUAUCAAAGUUUGUUAUCUUAUUAAAUGAAUGGUUGGCCGAACCGGUUUUGGCGUCUACAAUCAGUGCUCAGUUUCUUCAUGAUCUUAAAAGAGUUUGGCCUCUGUCCCUCUAGCUCUGCCUUAAAGAUGUUUAAAUUAGCACUUUUGUCUGCAAAUUUAUUUAGGCCUUCUUGUCUGGAUAUAUAUAUAUAUAUGUCAUGUUGAAUUAUUGAAUUCAAAUGAUUGUGAGCUACUAAACUGGUAUUAUAGGUCAUACUGUGCAUACAAAAAUGUUUUGCUCAGUUUGUAACAAGUUUGAAUUGGAAUUGACUUAGUCAAACUUGGGCGAGCUCGAGAUUGGUGACUAAUAUGCGGAUGGUUUUUCC
Molecule: unclassified non-coding RNA, 3539 nt
Filed under: Hevea brasiliensis (rubber tree)
Lineage: Eukaryota; Viridiplantae; Streptophyta; Magnoliopsida; Malpighiales; Euphorbiaceae
Source: RNAcentral